This 468-nucleotide ribosomal RNA is filed under the name uncultured bacterium. RNAcentral describes it as "partial 16S ribosomal RNA". It matches the Rfam family "Bacterial small subunit ribosomal RNA", at positions 28 to 507 of the family's 1533-position model. The record is from RNAcentral.
GACGAACGCUGGCGGCGUGCUUAACACAUGCAAGUCGAACGGAAAGGCCCUGCUUUUGUGGGGUGCUCGAGUGGCGAACGGGUGAGUAACACGUGAGUAACCUGCCCUUGACUUUGGGAUAACUUCAGGAAACUGGGGCUAAUACCGGAUAGGAGCUCCUGCUGCAUGGUGGGGGUUGGAAAGUUUCGGCGGUUGGGGAUGGACUCGCGGCUUAUCAGCUUGUUGGUGGGGUAGUGGCUGACCAAGGCUUUGACGGGUAGCCGGCCUGAGAGGGUGACCGGCCACAUUGGGACUGAGAUACGGCCCAGACUCCAACGGGAGGCAGCAGUGGGGAAUAUUGCACAAUGGGAGGGAGCCUGAGGCAGAAACGCCGCGUGCGGGAUGACGGCCUUCGGGUUGUAAACCGCUUUAGCCUGUGACGAAGCGUGAGUGACGGUAAUGGGUAAAGAAGCACCGGCUAACUACGUG